Molecule: ribosomal RNA, 436 nt
Filed under: uncultured bacterium
Lineage: Bacteria
Description: bacterial SSU rRNA
Rfam family: Bacterial small subunit ribosomal RNA
Source: RNAcentral
GGACGAACGCUGGCGGUGUGCUUCACACAUGCAAGUCGAACGAGGUAGCAAUACCUAGUGGCGGACGGGUGAGUAACGCGUGGGAAUCUGCCUUUAGAUGGGGGAUAACGGGUCGAAAGACUCGCUAAUACCGCAUAUGACGAAAGUUGAAAGGAGUAAUCCGUCUAAAGAUGAGCCCGCGUCCGAUUAGCUAGUUGGUAGAGUAAAAGCCUACCAAGGCGACGAUCGGUAGCUGGUCUGAGAGGAUGAUCAGCCACAAUGGGACUGAGACACGGCCCAUACUCCUACGGGAGGCAGCAGUGGGAAUUUUACGCAAUGGGCGAAAGCCUGACGUAGCGACACCGCGUGAGCGAAGAAGCCCCUUGGGGUGUAAAGCUCUGUCAGCUGGAACGAAAAAAUGACGGUACCAGCAGAGGAAGCAUCGGCUAACUACGUG